RNAcentral lists this ribosomal RNA (1023 nucleotides) under Providencia rettgeri. RNAcentral's name for it is "partial 23S ribosomal RNA". It matches the Rfam family "Bacterial large subunit ribosomal RNA", at positions 1223 to 2228 of the family's 2925-position model. RNAcentral also lists the same sequence under 1 other name. The record is from RNAcentral. Lineage: Bacteria; Pseudomonadati; Pseudomonadota; Gammaproteobacteria; Enterobacterales; Morganellaceae.
GUUGGGUAGGGGAGCGUUCUGUAAGCCUGUGAAGGUGUACUGUGAGGUAUGCUGGAGGUAUCAGAAGUGCGAAUGCUGACAUAAGUAACGAUAAUGCGGGUGAAAAACCCGCACGCCGGAAGACCAAGGGUUCCUGUCCAACGUUAAUCGGGGCAGGGUGAGUCGACCCCUAAGGCGAGGCAGAAAUGCGUAGUCGAUGGGAAACGGGUUAAUAUUCCCGUACUGGUGAUAAUUGCGAUGGGGGGACGGAGAAGGCUAGGCUAUCCGGGCGACGGUUGUCCCGGUUUAAGAAUGUAGGCAGGUGAAUUAGGCAAAUCCGGUUCACUACAUGCUGAGGUUCGAUGACGAGUCACUACGGUGAUGAAGUAGCUCAUGCCCCGCUUCCAGGAAAAGCCUCUAAGCUCUAGAUUAUCAUUAAUCGUACCCCAAACCGACACAGGUGGUCAGGUAGAGAAUACUCAGGCGCUUGAGAGAACUCGGGUGAAGGAACUAGGCAAAAUGGUGCCGUAACUUCGGGAGAAGGCACGCUGGCGCUAGGUGAAGUCCCUCGCGGAUGGAGCUGAAGCCAGUCGCAGAUACCAGCUGGCUGCAACUGUUUAUUAAAAACACAGCACUGUGCAAACACGAAAGUGGACGUAUACGGUGUGACGCCUGCCCGGUGCUGGAAGGUUAAUUGAUGGGGUUAUCCGUAAGGAGAAGCUCUUGAUCGAAGCCCCAGUAAACGGCGGCCGUAACUAUAACGGUCCUAAGGUAGCGAAAUUCCUUGUCGGGUAAGUUCCGACCUGCACGAAUGGCGUAAUGAUGGCCAGGCUGUCUCCACCCGAGACUCAGUGAAAUUGAACUCGCUGUGAAGAUGCAGUGUACCCGCGGCAAGACGGAAAGACCCCGUGAACCUUUACUAUAGCUUGACACUGAACAUUGAGCCUUGAUGUGUAGGAUAGGUGGGAGGCUUCGAAGCGUGGACGCCAGUCUGCGUGGAGCCAACCUUGAAAUACCACCCUUUAAUGUUUGAUGUUCUAACGU